AUACGUAGGGGGCGAGCGUUGUCCGGAAUGAUUGGGCGUAAAGGGCGCGUAGGCGGCCCGGUAAGUCUGGAGUGAAAGUCCUGUUUUUAAGAUGGGAAUUGCUUUGGAUACUGUCGGGCUUGAGUGCAGGAGAGGUAAGUGGAAUUCCCAGUGUAGCGGUGAAAUACGUAGAGAUUGGGAGGAACACCAGUGGCGAAGGCGGGUAACUGGACUGCAACUGACGCUGAGGCGCGAAAGUGUGGGGAGCAAACAGGAUUAGAUACCCUGGUAGUCCACACUGUAAACGAUGAAUGCUAGGUGUAAGAGGUAUCGACCCCUUUUGUGCCGGAGUCAACACAAUAAGCAUUCCGCCUGGGGAGUACGGCCGCAAGGUUGAAACUCAAAUGAAUUGACGGGG
This 397-nucleotide ribosomal RNA is filed under the name uncultured bacterium. RNAcentral describes it as "partial 16S ribosomal RNA". It matches the Rfam family "Bacterial small subunit ribosomal RNA", at positions 523 to 918 of the family's 1533-position model. The record is from RNAcentral.